This 322-nucleotide ribosomal RNA is filed under the name uncultured Geobacillus sp. RNAcentral's name for it is "bacterial SSU rRNA". It matches the Rfam family "Bacterial small subunit ribosomal RNA", at positions 1063 to 1382 of the family's 1533-position model. Lineage: Bacteria; Bacillati; Bacillota; Bacilli; Caryophanales; Anoxybacillaceae. The record is from RNAcentral.
UGUCGUGAGAUGUUGGGUUAAGUCCCGCAACGAGCGCAACCCUCGCCUCUAGUUGCCAGCAUUCGGUUGGGCACUCUAGGAGGGACUGCCGGCGACAAGUCGGAGGAAGGUGGGGAUGACGUACAAAUCAUCAUGCCCCUUAUGACCUGGGCUACACACGUGCUACAAUGGGCGGUAACGAAAGGGCUGCGAACCCGCGAGGGGGAGCGAAUCCCAAAAAGCCGCUCUCAGUUCGGAUUGCAGGCUGCAACUCGCCUGCAUGAAGCCGGAAUCGCUAGUAAUCGCGGAUCAGCAUGCCGCGGUGAAUACGUUCCCGGGCCUU